GAAGCCCUGAUUUGCAGUGUUUGCUGAUUUCCAUGGUGUAAAUACUCUGAUCAUAGCCAAUUUCAAGAAUCAUGGAACAUUUCAUCACUGGACAUAGAGUUGGGUAGAGAUACCAAAAAUUAGAUCCUGUGAACUUUUGCAGAAUUCCGGUUUCAUUCCUUUUUAGUAAAGCCUAGUUUUCUGGUGAAAUUGUCCAUCCUGUCAUCGAUUUCUUGAAUAUACUAAUCACACUCAUUUUAAAGGUUAAAGCAGGAUAUUUCUGAGCCUAGCCAUCAUUUUGGGUUUUCGCUGUAUCUCCCCAUCCCAUUUUUUCAUCUGAAGGUCUUCCGGCAAAACUAGUGAGGCUCCUGAGCGCGUGACUCAGGAGUGACAAUCGCUAACAGAUGCAUUUGUACCCGGGCAGAACUGGCCUCUAAUUGUUGCUUGUAGGAGAAAAGGCAAAGCGACUGUAGCACCGCCGUUCUCUGUUGCUGGCAGAUAACAACCUCGAGAUGAAGCCACAUUUGCAGGGGAAAAAUUGCUUACGCCCACAGAAUGAAAUUUCAGGCUUUGACAGCUGCUAGGUUGGCCAGAGGUUGACUGAUACAGACCAGGGAGCUCCGCCUUAAGUGGCAGAUCUGGCUGAAAAGUUCUUUGGUGGGUUAAACUCAGGCAUAUUCUAUAAAUGUGCCUUAUUCUAGUGACCAGGCUGAACGCGAAGCUCUCCUAUGGCAGUCGCAGAGGUGCAAGAGAGGAAGUGGAAGGCCAUGACGCAUCUUAAGGACGGGACUCAGAAGUGGCACAUUGAAAUCUACACUAUUCUACCGGAAAGAAGGCUGGACUUCCUGGGGAAUGGAAAGUACGCAGACUGCUGAGAUAAACCGCGAUUCACUGCUGCUGAAUGUAUCACACAUCAGCCCACCUCCUGCCACUACAACUCCGCACAGAGAACAGAACAGUCUCGCAGAGAAAGGAACAGUCUCAGGAAGAACCCAUUCAGCACCCAACUGAAAAAUGAUCUCAUAGGGGCGCCUGGUGGCUCAGUGGGUGGAGCGUCCGACUUCGGCUCAGGUCAGGAUCUCACGGUCCGUGAGUUCGAGCCCCGCGUCGGGCUCCGUGCCGACAGCUCAGAGC
This is a long non-coding RNA of Felis catus (domestic cat), 1113 nucleotides long. RefSeq lists it as uncharacterized. NCBI's taxonomy places the organism in Eukaryota, Metazoa, Chordata, Mammalia, Carnivora, Felidae. The transcript is spliced from 7 exons. The record is from RefSeq and is a predicted model, not a curated record.